Bactrocera oleae (olive fruit fly) is the source of this 3456-nucleotide non-coding RNA. Lineage: Eukaryota; Metazoa; Arthropoda; Insecta; Diptera; Tephritidae. The record is from RefSeq and is a predicted model, not a curated record.
AAAGAAACCGGGGAGGAAAGAAUCGUGAAACCAAAGAGAGAGAGAGAGUAAAAAUACAACGAGCAUACUGGUAAACAGGCUUACAAUAAUAUAGGCAGGUAGAAGAGUACCACAAAAGAUAAAUAACUCUUGUGAUCACAAGGCAAUUGCACUUUGUUGUUGUUUGCGUUUUUGCAACGCUAUCGGUUUGUUCCAUAUGAUAGCCGAAAACCAAAUACAGUGAAUUUUUUUUAAACUUGUAUACGUAAAUUUUUUAUUUGCUUCUCUAAAAAAAGCCUGUUAACGAUGGUUAAUAUGUUUCGAAUUCAAUUGUUAUUGUCUUUGAUCCCAAAAUUUGCAAACAUUUCCAUCAGCCUUCUGACUUUUUCAGCUUCAGAUAUUGCAGAAUCUCUAUGCACUUCAGUACCACUAAAUAUGUGAAUUCAAGAAGUAAUUUAUGGUUACGACUUACAUGUUGAACACAUAGUGGACGAUAAGCUACAGGCAGCAUCUGUCAAAACCAAAAUACACAUUCUUAUGGGAACAUUUAUUUAGACAGCAGCACGACUUUACGGCAGCAGGCUUGAAGUUGUCGCUGUUGCUAAAUUAAAACCAUUUAUAAUUUUGCUGACGACAACGGGCAGCUGUAGUGUUGCCACUAGUAUGUGAAAUAUAAAAUUGUUAAAAUUUCUAACAAAUCUAAUGUUGUUUUACCAACAGAAGCAUAAAUUAGAACUGAUAUAUUAUUAUUUGUAAAAACAAUUGAUCAUUUAAAACAAUGAAUCGAACUAUUUACUUAUUUUUUUGGACAAAAAAAUUUCCUUUUGAAAAAAACAUUUAAAUUUGAUUGAAGUGAAAGGUUUUAGAACGGCAACAUCGGCUGUUUGAUAUGUCGCUGCCGUCUUCAAAAUGUUCAAGAAGCUGGCUUCAAGACGACAUUUGCCGACCAGAAAAUUUCGCUAUCGUGCAGUCGAGUCGUGUCAUCGUCAUUUUGUUCUGAGCAUUAUAUUUAAAUUCGAAUUGUUUACAUUUUGUUUAUAUUCAUAUGUUUCUCUUUAUAAAUUUCUGAUACUGGGAUAUGAAAUUGGCGACUAUAUAAUAUCCGGAUAUUUCUUAUAAAUUAUGAUGAAAAGUUAUACAAAACACAUUAUAUAAAAAAUUUAUAAUUUAUUUACAAUUUCUCGAACAAGAACACUGUACAUAAGUAUUAGCAAAAGAUUGGAAAGCAAGAAAAUGAUUGCAUAUGUAUUUCUAGCCAGGCAGUGCCGCUAUAUAAAAGAGUAUAAUUAAGUGCCCAGCAGAUUAACUGUUUAUAUUGCUUGCACACCUAGAAAAUACCUCAGUUAUUAUUAUAAGAUAUAGAUUAGACACCGCAAUAUAUUAUAUUUGCAUAUUUAACAUUGUGAAACAUGCUUUUAUUUUCUGGAAUAAUGUAUAUUUAUAUUGCUCUUUUUAAAUAUCUUUAAAGUCACUUCCUUACAUUUGGGAUACGAAUGAUUAAACGGAAUAAUUCGUUCCCAAAAGCACACAUAUCUAUAUAUUUGUGAUGGGCAGAAAAAAUUAUAAAUAUAUAUUUGGUACACUAGUACAUGUAAAUGUAUAUAUGCAUAUAGUGGAGUACAUACAGUGACUCACAAAAUUAAUCACGCUUCAGUUGAACAGCUAUUUCAUUUUUCAUUCCAUCUUGCAUAUGCAGUCAAACACAAAUCCGACUAAAUAUUUAUUUUAGUUGCUGUUUGAGAUACCGUUACCAAUAUGUUUGAUGUCGUCACCAUAAUUGGCGGUAUAUUAAAAUUUAAACAAAAAAAGUUUGCGUGUGCAUUGGUGAAUUCAUAAAAUAGAAUAAUUUUAAUUUUUAUACUCUCACAACUUGUUGCUACAGAGUAUAAUAGUUUUGUUCACCUAACGGUUGUUGAUACAAAAACUAAUCGAGUUAGAUAUAGGGUUAUAUAUAUAUAAAUGAUCAGGAUGAAGACGAGUUGAAAUCCAGGUGACUGUCUGUCCGUCCGUUCGCAGCAUAUUACGAAAUUCUGAUCAAAAAGGCCGUGCAAAAGUAAAAAAAAAACUCUACUCACUGAGAGAUACAGGAAGUUCUGGCUAAAUUUUGCCAAAAAGUACAAGAUCUGGAAUUUAGGUGACUGGGUGAAUGUCGGGUGGUUGGACGAGACAAAAAUAAAUCGUUUGGGAUCGGAUGAGCGGAAUGGACCUGAAGAAGCAAGUUGGGAAAUUAUUGGACCACCACGUUAAGCCUAUGUUGAAGUUUGGAGGAGGCUCCAUUAUAAUGUGGGGAUGCACAAAAACCAAUGAAUGGGGUUGGUAGGCUGGCUAAAAUCGAAGGACGAAUGACGCCAGAAUCUUACAUUGAUCUGUGCAAUAAUUUGCUUGGCACUGUAGGAAACUUAGGUGAAAAUACGUUGAAAAUUGUCUUCCAACAUGACAAUACUCCGAAACACACAGCAAAGGCAACUCCCAAAUAGCUCCAAUAAAAUAAUAAUAGUAUGCUAGAUGGAGCUCCGGAAUCUCCGGACAUCAAAGCCAUCGAGCACCAGAUAAGAAUCAAUCCCGUUAUAAAUGCUAAAGCUGUUUAUACGAAGUAUUAAUAAUAAUAUUUAACACUGUUUAUAUUAAGUUAAAAACGUGAACACAAUGAAAUAUUUUAUAUAUUGCUUUUAUUUAUUUUUUGUUGCUUGAUGAAAUAUUAUUUGUGUUUGAUUCGAGUUUUUUCAUCAUAAAUUCUAUACGUGUUGAUACCGUGAUGAUUUUGUGAGUCACUGUAAAUGCAAUGUCCACUAUGAAUCACACACACAUAAAAAUGAGAAAGAAAGUAAUGGGAGAAAAAGAAAGCUUUAGAGCGUAUACUAAUAUAUGGAAUUUAAUAUAACAGUGGUACAUUUAUUAAAUUUUAGUAUAACAUUUUCUACAUACAUACAUAUAGGAACAUUUGGUAGAGGUAACAAACAUACAUACAUUAUUGUACAAUAUUAAAGUGUUAAAUGGAAAUAAAAUAAAUUAUUUGUUGUAAUGUGCACAAAAUAUCAAAGCAGCGAUAAACAAAAUUGUUUACACAUCAAUAUGAAAAAUGUAUAGUCACCUAAAAUAUAAGUUUAAAGGAAAAGGAGCAACUAAUUUAAGAAACCAUGCAAUUGAUACGUUAUUUUGAAUUUCGAUCAUAACUUGGUUUUAUCUGAUAGAAGAAGUUUAAAACUUUGUACAUACAUAAGUACAUAUACAGUGAUUUGCGAUAAAAAUAAAGUCACACCAUCGCCGACGAUGUUACUUUAUUUAAAACUAUUUUGUGAACCCAAUAUUCGCUGAAGUAACUGUAAUUCAAUAAACAAUUACCUAUGAAUAUUAUGCACUUAUUUUUGAAUUCAAUCGCACGUUCGUUUUUUGCAAAUCAGUGAAAUUGUACCAUUGACUGUUAAACGAGAUGUGCGUUACAAUAGAGCGAAACAAUAAAAUUAAAUAUUCUGAGAA